ACCACUGAGCCACCUUCCCAGCCCUUACAUACUUUUAAUAAGUAUUGUAGUUGGGGCUAGGAAGGUGGCUCAGUGGU
This 77-nucleotide microRNA precursor is filed under the name Dipodomys ordii (Ord's kangaroo rat). Its description in RNAcentral is "mir-3473 microRNA precursor family". It matches the Rfam family "mir-3473 microRNA precursor family". The record is from Rfam by way of RNAcentral. Lineage: Eukaryota; Metazoa; Chordata; Mammalia; Rodentia; Heteromyidae.